UACGUAGGUGGCAAGCGUUGUCCGGAAUUAUUGGGCGUAAAGCGCGCGCAGGCGGUCCUUUAAGUCUGAUGUGAAAGCCCACGGCUCAACCGUGGAGGGUCAUUGGAAACUGGGGGACUUGAGUGCAGAAGAGGAGAGUGGAAUUCCACGUGUAGCGGUGAAAUGCGUAGAGAUGUGGAGGAACACCAGUGGCGAAGGCGACUUCCUGGCCUGAAACUGACGCUGAGGCGCGAAAGCGUGGGGAGCAAACAGG
This 253-nucleotide ribosomal RNA is filed under the name uncultured bacterium. Its description in RNAcentral is "partial 16S ribosomal RNA". It matches the Rfam family "Bacterial small subunit ribosomal RNA", at positions 524 to 776 of the family's 1533-position model. The record is from RNAcentral.